UCCAAAUAUAUUAUAAAGACGGUGUUACCGUCUUUAGAAUAUAUGUGGAGA
This 51-nucleotide microRNA precursor is filed under the name Hydra vulgaris (swiftwater hydra). Its description in RNAcentral is "Hvu-Novel-10_pre stem-loop". Lineage: Eukaryota; Metazoa; Cnidaria; Hydrozoa; Anthoathecata; Hydridae. The record is from RNAcentral.